RNAcentral lists this transfer RNA (67 nucleotides) under Cryptotympana atrata. RNAcentral describes it as "tRNA-Tyr". The record is from RNAcentral. RNAcentral also lists the same sequence under 1 other name. Lineage: Eukaryota; Metazoa; Arthropoda; Insecta; Hemiptera; Cicadidae.
AUUAAGAUGGCUGAAAAAUUAAGCAAUAAACUGUAAAUUUAUUAAUGAAUAUAUUAUUCUCUUAAUA